GCAGAGAACCAGAAAGUAAGCAUAAAGGUGAGAAACAACUGAAUGCUGUUCUUUGGCUUAGUUCAAUUUGUAGAGAUAGUGCUCAUUUUAACUCUGGCUGUCACUCUUUGGGAGCUGACAUUACUAAUACAAUCACGUUGCAUUGUAUUAUUCUGAUGUUGCUUAAAUAAUUUCUAAUCUACAGUUGUUUACAGAUAAUGGAAAUCCUUUCCAGAGCUAAAGAGCUUUUAUUUGAAAUUUAAAAAUACAUACAAAUUCAUAAAAGAUGGUUUCAACCUAGCACAUGUAGCUGGGAUCCUAAUUGAAAAGUAACGUAAAAUCUGUAUAUAUUAUUGAGUUUUGAUAUUCUCCAAUCAAGGAGAAGAGAUAAGAGAGUGGAGGAGUGCAGUGAUGUGGCAAUGUCUGUGACAGCAGCGGGAUAGGUCACAAUGGGGGGGAAUGUGUCAGGAGGCUAUAAAAGAGGCAGUGCUGUGGCCUGGGCCUUUGCUUAUGGCAUGCACCUGCUAGUGGCUGUGGCUUGGGUGGUCUUCAUCACUCAAGGAGCUGGUAAGCUUUUCACUUUUAAGAAGGAAGAAGAAAGUUGUCUCAGUAAAUAUUGGAUGAAAGCCAUUAGGGUUUGCUUUAUUGCUAUUACCAACAUUAUGUUAACUGAAGAACUAAAAUAAAUUAUUAAAGCCAUAAUUCAAAAGUGUCCAUUGUAGUUCAAUGCUUACAAACUGGCAUCUUGACAGUGUUAUUAUGUGUUGAGCUUCAAGGAUAUCGCGUAAAUAUAACGAAGAAUGUAAUAAAACUGUUCUUUGGAAACCUGAAGAAACA
This 816-nucleotide long non-coding RNA is filed under the name Numida meleagris (helmeted guineafowl). RNAcentral's name for it is "lncRNA (ENSNMEG00000010501.1)". The record is from RNAcentral. Lineage: Eukaryota; Metazoa; Chordata; Aves; Galliformes; Numididae.